This 252-nucleotide ribosomal RNA is filed under the name uncultured bacterium. RNAcentral describes it as "partial 16S ribosomal RNA". It matches the Rfam family "Bacterial small subunit ribosomal RNA", at positions 524 to 776 of the family's 1533-position model. The record is from RNAcentral.
UACGUAGGUCCCGAGCGUUGUCCGGAUUCAUUGGGCGUAAAGCGAGCGCAGGUGGUUUAUUAAGUCUGGUGUAAAAGGCAGUGGCUCAACCAUUGUAUGCAUUGGAAACUGGUAGACUUGAGUGCAGGAGAGGAGAGUGGAAUUCCAUGUGUAGCGGUGAAAUGCGUAGAUAUAUGGAGGAACACCGGUGGCGAAAGCGGCUCUCUGACCUGUAACUGACACUGAGGCUCGAAAGCGUGGGGAGCAAACAGG